CCUACGGGGGGCAGCAGUGAGGAAUAUUGGUCAAUGGUCGGGAGACUGAACCAGCCAAGCCGCGUGAGGGAUGAAGGUACAGAGUAUCGUAAACCUCUUUUGUCAGGGAACAAAGGCGGGGACGUGUCCCCGGAGGAGUGUACCUGAAGAAAAAGCAUCGGCUAACUCCGUGCCAGCAGCCGCGGUAAUACGGAGGAUGCGAGCGUUAUCCGGAUUUAUUGGGUUUAAAGGGUGCGCAGGCGGUCUGUUAAGUCAGCGGUCAAAGCCCGGGGCUCAACCCCGGCCCGCCGUUGAAACUGGCAGUCUCGAGUUGGAGAGAAGUAUGCGGAAUGCGCGGUGUAGCGGUGAAAUGCAUAGAUAUCGCGCAGAACUCCGAUUGCGAAGGCAGCAUGCCGGCUCCACACUGACGCUGAGGCACGAAAGCGUGGGUAUCGAACAGGAUUAGAUACCCGUGUAGUC
This 459-nucleotide ribosomal RNA is filed under the name uncultured bacterium. Its description in RNAcentral is "partial 16S ribosomal RNA". It matches the Rfam family "Bacterial small subunit ribosomal RNA", at positions 338 to 795 of the family's 1533-position model. The record is from RNAcentral.